AUUGAACGCUGGCGGCAUGCCUUACACAUGCAAGUCGAACGGCAGCACGGGAGCAAUCCUGGUGGCGAGUGGAGAACGGGUGAGUAAAGUAUCGGAACGUGCCCAGUCGGGGGGGAUAACGCAGCGAAAAGUACGCUAAUACCGCAUACUGUCUAUGGAUGAAAGAGGGGGACCGCGAGACCUCGCGCGAUUGGGUCAGCCGAGAUCAGAUUAGGUAGUUGGUGGGGUAAAGGCUCACCAAGCCGACGAUCUGUAGCUGGUCUGAGAGGACGACCAGCCACACUGGGACUGAGACACGGCCCAGACUCCUACGGGAGGCAGCAGUGGGGAAUUUUGGACAAUGGGCGAAAGCCUGAUCCAGCCAUGCCGCGUGCAGGAUGAAGGCCUUCGGGUUGUAAACUGCUUUUGUACGGAACGAAAAGGUUUGGGCUAAUAAGCUGAGCUCAUGACGGUACCGUAAGAAUAAGCACCGGCUAACUACGUGCCAGCCGCCGCAGUAA
RNAcentral lists this ribosomal RNA (500 nucleotides) under uncultured bacterium. Its description in RNAcentral is "partial 16S ribosomal RNA". It matches the Rfam family "Bacterial small subunit ribosomal RNA", at positions 29 to 523 of the family's 1533-position model. The record is from RNAcentral.